AACCAUACUUGGCUCCGGGUUUGUGCAGUGUGCUCUUAGCGGCGUUGGUCAGACCAUCCGCCUCUCUCCUUCCAGCAUCAAGGUAACCUCUCCUUAUUUAGUACGUUUGUAUCAAGAAAACAGUGUUCCAUGUUCCAUCACAAAUGCAAAGAGGGUUCUCACGGAAACAGGAUGCCUCACACCGAUGGAGCUGGCUCUUUGCUACAUAUUAAGCAAAGAGUGUAUUUGUGUUGUUACUGCUUGGACUUUUAAACAUUUGCUCUCUAUAAUAUACUGAUUUAGUCAUAUCUUUUAUUUGUAGUAGGUUGCUUUUAUGGCAUCUUGAUCCAUCAAUUAUUAGGCUUGAUCUCUCAGUGAUGCUCAAGGAGGUAAUUAGAAGGCUCUUGCUUUGCCUGAGAAAGAAAUUAAAUAAUAGGAUGGAAUGACGUACCUUAAACACUCAUAUGGAAUACCCUAUGCUUUUGCUUGCACUGAGUUUUGAUGUGUCCUGAAUCCUAAUUUUGGUCAAUGGGCUUCUCCACAUACUUUUAAUCUUGCAAAUAGAACUACACCAAACAGAAGGGUAUCCUAUGGGAGCAACAAGAUGUUUCUAGAUCUUACAUAUAAGCAGACGCAUCCCUUGUAAUCUAUGUUGUUACUGGUUUUGUAGGAACUUAGAAGAGUUUGCAAUCAUUAAAUCCUUAGCAUGACAAGAAGUCAUCUGUAUAUGCUAUAGCAUUUGUGUCAUCUGAGUUUGGGCCGCGUCCUCUUCGACCGUCUCGGGGAAGAGGUUCUGUGCGAGCUCGUUGGGGUCGACGGUGGGGUAGAGGGAGUUGCCCGUGGCGGCGCCGGUGGAGGUGGUGGGUGCGGAGAAGAAAGGGGUGUUGAGAUCAGGGUGGGACUGGUCCACAUCCGGGUAGAGGCUCUGCUUGGCAUUCGAGGAAGCGAAAGCCAUGGUUGCGUAGCUGGUCGGUUGCUAUUUAAUUUUGCAUUCGGUUCUUACUAUGCUUCAGGGAUUAAGUGGUUGUAAUGACAUUGGGGUAGAUCGUGCUAAUUUUGAUUUGAUUUUUUCUACUUUUUCAGUACUUGAUGAUGAGGCCGUCAUGAGGAAACAACUCCACGAGGCGAGAGAACAGCUGGUGAGACAAAGGUAAGAGUGUUUUUUACCUAUAUAUGUUUGCUGACUGAUGGCUGCAGAUAUCUCUUCACAGAAUUUGUUGAGCAACAUUGGUACUAAUAUAUUCACUCUCUCUGUAGUUUGGAGGAAGGAACUUAGAAUUUGCUAAUCCUGAAGAAAGCUUAUUGUUUUUUUCGACUGAACCAACAAUUAUAUUUGGUGCUGAUGUCACUCACCCUGCUGCUCUAGAUGAUACUUCCCCGUCCAUUGCUUCUUUAAGCUCUUUUUCCGUUUACAAUACGGAUAGUACCAUCUUAUUACAAUAACACUUUAUGCCUGGUGGUUCCUUGUAGGUUGUUGCCUCCCAAGACUGGCCCUAGGUGGCUAACUAUAAUGGCAUUAUCCGUGCACAAGGUCACCGUCAAGAGCUCAUCGAUGGGCUGGAAAACAUUGUCAAGGAACUCCUACUUGCAUUCGUGGAACGGUCUAAGCAGAGACCCAAGCAGCUGAUCUUCUACAGGUUAGUAGUAUCUUCCUCCAAACUUUUCUGACUGACAUGCAAUGGUAAUUGACUCCCUCUUUCACCGUUAGGGAUGGCGUAAGUGAGGGCCAAUUCAAACAAGUGCUGGAGCAAGAAAUCCAUGAGAUAGAGAAGGCAUGGACAGCUCUUUACAAUGAGAAGCCAAAGAUCACCUUCGUAGUGGUGCAGAAGAGGCACCACACAAGGCUCUUCCCCAGCAAACCAAAGGAUCGCCAAUACGCGGACAAGAGUGGGAAUAUUCGAGCUGGUUAGGGAUGCAGGCGCAUUUGCUGUUAUUUUUACAAUGCUUUUGAUGAAACGUUUAUGGAAUUUGCAGGCACCGUAGUUGAUAAUAAUAUCUGCCACCCAACAGAAUUUGAUUUCUUCCUGUGCGGCCAUGCUGGGGCCAAGGUAUGUGUGUAGCAUGUUACAACUAAUUCAGACAUUUUUCCCCCAAAUG
Zea mays is the source of this 2076-nucleotide RNA transcript. It is a transcript of the gene named protein argonaute 18, with no coding region annotated. The record is from RefSeq and is a predicted model, not a curated record. NCBI's taxonomy places the organism in Eukaryota, Viridiplantae, Streptophyta, Magnoliopsida, Poales, Poaceae. The transcript is spliced from 3 exons.